This 88-nucleotide non-coding RNA is filed under the name Acidobacteriota bacterium. RNAcentral describes it as "Acidobacteria bacterium c-di-GMP sequence". It matches the Rfam family "c-di-GMP-I-GGC riboswitch aptamer". Lineage: Bacteria; Pseudomonadati; Acidobacteriota. The record is from RNAcentral.
CUCGAUAAAGGCAAACCGGGAGCGAUCCUGGGACGCAAAGCCACGGAACCCCAAGCUGCCACGGCUGGGGUUGGCCGGGUUGCCGAAA